Molecule: ribosomal RNA, 451 nt
Filed under: uncultured bacterium
Lineage: Bacteria
Description: partial 16S ribosomal RNA
Rfam family: Bacterial small subunit ribosomal RNA
Source: RNAcentral
GGCCAGACUCCUACGGGAGGCAGCAGUGGGGAAUAUUGGGCAAUGGGCGCAAGCCUGACCCAGCAACGCCGCGUGAAGGAAGAAGGCUUUCGGGUUGUAAACUUCUUUUGACAGGGAAGAGUAGAAGACGGUACCUGUCGAAUAAGCCCCGGCUAACUACGUGCCAGCAGCCGCGGUAAUACGUAGGGGGCAAGCGUUAUCCGGAUUUACUGGGUGUAAAGGGAGCGUAGACGGUUAUGCAAGUCUGAAGUGAAAGCCCAAGGCUCAACCAUGGGACUGCUUUUGAAACUGUCAAACUAGAGUACGGGAGAGGUAAGAGGAAUUCCUAGUGUAGCGGUGAAAUGCGUAGAUAUUAGGAGGAACACCAGUGGCGAAGGCGGCCUGCUGGACGAUGACUGACGUUGAGGCUCGAAAGCGUGGGGAGCAAACAGGAUUAGAUACCCGAGUAAAC